Molecule: ribosomal RNA, 433 nt
Filed under: uncultured bacterium
Lineage: Bacteria
Description: partial 16S ribosomal RNA
Rfam family: Bacterial small subunit ribosomal RNA
Source: RNAcentral
AACGAACGCUGGCGGCAUGCCUAACACAUGCAAGUCGAACGAGACCUUCGGGUCUAGUGGCGCACGGUUUCGUAACGCGUGGGAACCUGCCCUUAGGUUCGGAAUAACUCCCCGAAAGGGGUGCUAAUACCGGAUAAUGUCUUCGGACCAAAGAUUUAUCGCCUUUGGAGGUGCCCGCGUUGGAUUAGCUAGUUGGUAGGGUAAAAGCCUACCAAGGCGACGAUCCAUAGCUUGUCUGAGAGGCGGAUCAGCCACACUGGGACUGAGACACGGCCCAGACUCCUACGCGAGGCAGCAGUGCGGAAUAUUGGACCAUGGGCGAAAGCCUGAUCCAGCACUGCCGCGUGAGUGAUGAAGGCCUUAGGGUUGUAAAGCUCUUUUAACCGGGAUGAUAAUGACAGUACCGGGAGAAUAAGCCCCGGCUAACUCCGUG